AACUUGAUGACCCUGGAUGCAAAUUAUAGAAAUAGAGGUGGAUAGUUUGCCUACUUUUUGUCUUUGAAGUUGCCAGAAGAGGGAUGAAGAGUCUGUGAAUUCUGAAGAGGCAGAAGAUAGCAAUGAGAGUUAACAGAGAUAUGGCAUGAACAUGUAUUAGAAAAAUGAUUCACACACAAUAGAAAAGAUAAGUAAGACCAGGAUUGGGUGGCUUUGGAGAAUGUAAUUUCAGCUUGAAUAUGAAGAUGCUUGUAGAACAGUGUUCCUUCCUCUGAACAUGGCUACAGAAGAACAAAUCAGUUAGUCUGAAGAUGAAAACAAGAAGCUGAUGGUAGACACAUUCUGAACUGGCUAACACAACACUCUGAAACUGGAGGAUAUCAACUGAUAAGAUAUGAAGUUCUCCCUUAGUUUCAAAUACACUGGGUUCAUAAAUUAUUGACAUAAACAAUAGAUGUCCCAUCAAGCUACCAUGAAGAUAGCUAGGUCUGCACAACUCCUCAAGUGUCGACCCCUCCAAGCACAUCCUCCACCUGGAACUGUGAACUGAAUGGAUAAAUGUGUUGGUCAGAAAGGUCUUUACAUCUUUGAAUUGUAA
This 598-nucleotide long non-coding RNA is filed under the name Homo sapiens (human). Its description in RNAcentral is "HSALNT0011382". The record is from RNAcentral. Lineage: Eukaryota; Metazoa; Chordata; Mammalia; Primates; Hominidae.